GGUGCCAUGGUGUAGCGGUUAGCACCUCAGACUCUUAAUCUGGAGACCUGAGUUCGUAUCUCUGUGGGACCU
Molecule: transfer RNA, 72 nt
Filed under: Hofstenia miamia
Lineage: Eukaryota; Metazoa; Xenacoelomorpha; Acoela; Hofsteniidae
Description: tRNA-Lys for anticodon CUU
Rfam family: tRNA
About the family: Transfer RNA (tRNA) molecules are approximately 80 nucleotides in length. Their secondary structure includes four short double-helical elements and three loops (D, anti-codon, and T loops). Further hydrogen bonds mediate the characteristic L-shaped molecular structure. tRNAs have two regions of fundamental functional importance: the anti-codon, which is responsible for specific mRNA codon recognition, and the 3' end, to which the tRNAs corresponding amino acid is attached (by aminoacyl-tRNA synthetases). tRNAs cope with the degeneracy of the genetic code in two manners: having more than one tRNA (with a specific anti-codon) for a particular amino acid; and 'wobble' base-pairing, i.e. permitting non-standard base-pairing at the 3rd anti-codon position.
Source: RNAcentral